AGCGAAAGCAUGGGUAGCGAACAGGAUUAGAUACCCUGGUAGUCCAURCCGUAAACGUUGGGCACUAGGUGUGGGGACCAUUCCRCGGUUUCCGCGCCGCAGCUAACGCAUUAAGUGCCCCGCCUGGGGAGUACGUCCGCAAGGCUAAAACUCAAAGGAAUUGACGGGGGCCCGCACAAGCGGCGGAGCAUGCGGAUUAAUUCGAUGCAACGCGAAGAACCUUACCAAGGCUUGACAUGUUCUCGAUCGCCGUAGAGAUACGGUUUCCCCUUUGGGGCGGGUUCACAGGUGGUGCAUGGUUGUCGUCAGCUCGUGUCGUGAGAUGUUGGGUUAAGUCCCGCAACGAGCGCAACCCUCGUUCCAUGUUGCCAGCACGUAAUGGUGGGGACUCAUGGGAGACUGCCGGGGUCAACUCGGAGGAAGGUGAGGACGACGUCAAAUCAUCAUGCCCCUUAUGUCUUGGGCUUCACGCAUGCUACAAUGGCCGGUACAAUGGGUUGCGAUACUGUGAGGUGGAGCUAAUCCCAAAAAGCCGGUCUCAGUUCGGAUUGGGGUCUGCAACUCGACCCCAUGAAGUCGGAGUCGCUAGUAAUCGCAGAUCAGCAACGCUGCGGUGAAUACGUUCCCGGGCCUUGUACACACCGCCCGUCAAGUCACGAAAGUUGGUAACACCCGAAGCCGGUGGCCUAACCCUUGUGGGGGGAGCCGUCGA
Molecule: ribosomal RNA, 712 nt
Filed under: Micrococcus sp. DG876
Lineage: Bacteria; Bacillati; Actinomycetota; Actinomycetes; Micrococcales; Micrococcaceae
Description: SSU rRNA
Rfam family: Bacterial small subunit ribosomal RNA
Source: RNAcentral